Molecule: ribosomal RNA, 858 nt
Filed under: uncultured bacterium
Lineage: Bacteria
Description: bacterial SSU rRNA
Rfam family: Bacterial small subunit ribosomal RNA
Source: RNAcentral
CACGGCGCACGGGUGCGUAACACGUGGGCAAUCUGCCCUCAGAUGGGGGAUAACCCGCCGAAAGGCGGGCUAAUACCGCAUGACAUUCCGGGGACUCCGGUCCCUGGACUCAAAGGCCGCAAGGCCGUCAGAGGAGGAGCCCGCGCCCGAUUAGCUAGUUGGCGGGGUAACGGCCCACCAAGGCUUUGAUCGGUAGCCGGUCUGAGAGGAUGGCCGGCCACACUGGAACUGAGACACGGUCCAGACUCCUACGGGAGGCAGCAGUGGGGAAUAUUGCGCAAUGGGCGAAAGCCUGACGCAGCGACGCCGCGUGGGGGAUGAAGCUUCUCGGAGUGUAAGCCCCUUUCGACCCGGACGAAUGACCCGCAAGGGUUUGACGGUACGGGUAUAAGAAGCCCCGGCUAACUACGCGCCAGCAGCCGCGGUAAUACGUAGGGGGCCAGCGUUGCUCGGAAUUACUGGGCGUAAAGGGUUCGUAGGCGGUGCGGCAAGUUGGGAGUGAAAUCUCUGGGCUUAACCCAGAGGCUGCUUUCAAAACUGCCGUGCUCGAGUGCGGGAGAGGCCAGUGGAAUUGCAGGUGUAGCGGUGAAAUGCGUAGAUAUCUGCAGGAACACCCGUGGCGAAGGCGGCUGGCUGGACCGCAACUGACGCUGAGGAACGAAAGCUAGGGGAGCAAACAGGAUUAGAUACCCUGGUAGUCCUAGCCCUAAACCAUCAGAACUUGGGGUGGCCCGCGUAGGCGGGUCGUCCCGUAGCUAACGCGUUAAGUUCUGCGCCUGGGGAGUACGGUCGCAAGACUGAAACUCAAAGGAAUUGACGGGGGCCCGCACAAGCGGUGGAACAUGUGGUUCAAUUCGA